CUUAGUACGGCGAGUGAAGCGGUAAAAGCUCAAAUUUGAAAUCUGGUACUUUCAGUGCCGGAGGAGGAUUUGUAGAAUUUGUCUUUGAUUAGGUCCUUGUCUAUGAUCCUUGGAACAGGACGUCAUAGAGGGUGAGAAUCCCGUUUGGCGAGGAUACCUUUUCUCUGUAAGACUUUUUCGAAGAGUCGAGUUGUUUGGGAAUGCAGCUCAAAGUGGGUGGUAAAUUCCAUCUAAAGCUAAAUAUUGGCGAGAGACCGAUAGCGAACAAGUACAGUGAUGGAAAGAUGAAAAGAACUUUGAAAAGAGAGUGAAAAAGUACGUGAAAUUGUUGAAAGGGAAGGGCAUUUGAUCAGACAUGGUGUUUUUUGCAUGCACUCGCCUCUCGUGGGCUUGGGCCUCUCAAAAAUUUCACUGGGCCAACAUCAAUUCUGGCAGCAGGAUAAAUCAUUAAGAAUGUAGCUACUUCGGUAGUGUUAUAGCUUUUUGGAAUACUGUUAGCCGGGAUUGAGGACUGCGCUUCGGCAAGGAUGUUGGCAUAAUGGUUAAAUGCCGCCCGUCUUGAAACCACGGACCA
Molecule: ribosomal RNA, 574 nt
Filed under: Hanseniaspora uvarum
Lineage: Eukaryota; Fungi; Ascomycota; Saccharomycetes; Saccharomycodales; Saccharomycodaceae
Description: LSU rRNA
Rfam family: Eukaryotic large subunit ribosomal RNA
Source: RNAcentral